UCCAGCAGCUAACUCUCUGCAACUCUCACAUGGUCGCCCACUGAAGGUAAGCUUGGCUGCGCAUGGUCAAUACCUGGAUGGGAGACUGCAUGGGAAAGCUAGCUUGCUGCCUGUA
This 115-nucleotide ribosomal RNA is filed under the name Danio rerio (zebrafish). The record is from RNAcentral. Lineage: Eukaryota; Metazoa; Chordata; Actinopteri; Cypriniformes; Danionidae.